GGGGAAAAAUUAAUAAUUAAUAAAAUAAUAAAAAAAUUUUUAAUAAAUAUUUAAUGGGGGUUAAAGUAUUUAUAAAGAAAAAAUUUAAAAAUUUAUAGUUAAUUAGUAUUGAGAAAGAAAUUUGAAAUAAAUUAAAAUAAAAUAAUUUAAAAGUAAUUUUAAUUUAGUGUAUCUUGUGUAUCAGAGUUUAUUAAUAAAAAUUUUUAGUGAAAAAAUUCUCGAAUUUAAAAGAGAUAAUUAAUUAAUAAAGUUAUUGUUGCAUAAAUAUUUUAAAUAAUUAAUUUGAAAUGAAAUGUUAAUCGUUUUUAAAUAUAUCUAGUUUUUAUAGAAAAAAAUUUAAUUUUAAAUUUACUUAAAAUUAAAUUUAUUAAUAAAUUUAAUUUUAAGUAAAUUUUAUAUUUUAGGGGAUAAGCUUUAAAUUAAAUUUGUAUAAAUAUAAUAUUAUUAAUUUAAAAUUUGUAUAAUUUAAAUUGUUAAUAAAUUUUAAUUUAUUAUAAAUAAUUUUAUUUAAAAUAUAAAAUUUAAUAAUUAUUUGCUUUUUUAUAUAAAAAUAAUUUUUAAUUUAAAUAAAUUAGUUAAAAUGAUAAAAUUAGUAUAUAAAAUAAAUAAAAUUAUUAAUUUUAUUUAAAUUAAUAAAAAGGAAUUCGGCAAAAAUUAAUAUUCACUUGUUUAUCAAAAACAUGUCUUUUUGAAAAUAAUUUAAAGUCUAAUCUGCCCACUGAUAAUUUAUUAAAGGGCUGCAGUAUUUUGACUGUACAAAGGUAGCAUAAUCAUUAGUCAUUUAAUUGAUGACUUGUAUGAAAGAUUGAAUGAAAUAUUAACUGUCUUUAUAUUAAUAUAUAUAAUUUAAUUUUUUAAUUAAAAAGUUAAAAUAAAUUAAAAAGACGAGAAGACCCUAUAGAGUUUUAUAUUAAAAUUAAUUAAGAUUUUUUAUAAAUAAGAAUUAUUUAUUAAAAUUAAUAAAAUAUUUUGUUGGGGUGAUAAAAAAAUAAAAAAAACUUUUUUUAAGUUAAUAUACAUAAAUAAGUGAUUUAUUGAUCCAAUAAUAUUGAUUAUAAGAAAAAAUUACCUUAGGGAUAACAGCGUAAUUUUUUUUUUUAGUUCGUAUAAAAAAAAAAGUUUGCGACCUCGAUGUUGGAUUAAGAUAAAAUUUAAAUGCAGAAGUUUAAAAUUUUGAUCUGUUCGAUCAUUAAAAUCUUACAUGAUCUGAGUUCAAACCGGUGUAAGCCAGGUUGGUUUCUAUCUUUUAAAAAAAAAAAUAUUUUAGUACGAAAGGAUUGAAUAUUUAAAUUAGAUUUAAUUAUGAAGAAUAUUAUUAAAAUAAGUUAAAGUAAAAUUUAUUUAAUUAAAUUGAU
Molecule: ribosomal RNA, 1355 nt
Filed under: Micromelalopha sieversi
Lineage: Eukaryota; Metazoa; Arthropoda; Insecta; Lepidoptera; Notodontidae
Description: 16S ribosomal RNA
Source: RNAcentral